GAUGAAGAACGUAGCGAAAUGCGAUAAGUAAUGUGAAUUGCAGAAUUCAGUGAAUCAUCGAACUUUGAACGCACAUUGCGCCCAUUAGUAUUCUAGUGGGCAUGCCUGUUCGAGCGUCAUUUCAACCCUUAAGCCUAGCUUAGUGUUGGGAGACUGCCUAAUACGCAGCUCCUCAAAACCAGUGGCGGAGUCUGUUCGUGCUCUGAGCGUAGUAAUUUUUUAUCUCGCUUCUGCAAGCCGGCCAGACGACAGCCAUAAACCGCACCCUCUCGGGGGGCACUUUUUUAAUGGUUGACCUCGGAUCAGGUAGGAAUACCCGCUGAACUUAAGCAUAUCAAUAAGCGGAGGA
RNAcentral lists this unclassified non-coding RNA (349 nucleotides) under soil metagenome. Its description in RNAcentral is "partial contains 5.8S ribosomal RNA, internal transcribed spacer 2, and large subunit ribosomal RNA". The stretch from base 1 to 119 matches the Rfam family "5.8S ribosomal RNA", at positions 35 to 154 of the family's 154-position model. The record is from RNAcentral.